GGAUGUGUGCUCGCUAAGACAUCGCGUCUUAUGCCUACGUAUCUCAUCUGGCCUGAGAAUCAGAGCAAAACGUAGUUCGGCUAACUAUGGGGUUAUGGAUAGGGUUUUGGACGAACGACGUCACUACACAAUCUACCGGAUGCUCGACCUUUGGAGACUUACUCGCCUGUAGUAGAAGGAGUUAACGUGUUGCUUUGGGUUUUAGGGUUUGGGAUGCUCAAGGGCAAAAAGGC
This 233-nucleotide long non-coding RNA is filed under the name Lathyrus oleraceus (garden pea). RNAcentral's name for it is "Pisum sativum (pea) long non-coding RNA (PSAT_LNC034977)". Lineage: Eukaryota; Viridiplantae; Streptophyta; Magnoliopsida; Fabales; Fabaceae. The record is from RNAcentral.